AUGGCCGCCGCCGCCCCCCUCCCCGUCCUCAUCCUCCUCCUCGCCGUCGCCCUCCUCGUCCCGGCCGCCGACGCCAUCUACUGCGACGAGGACGACUGCUACGACCUCCUCGGGGUGAAGCAGGACGCCAACGCGUCGGAGAUCAAGAAGGCCUACUACAAGCUCUCCCUCAAACACCACCCGGACAAGAACCCCGACCCGGAGUCGCGCGCGCUCUUCGUCAAGGUCGCCAAUGCCUACGAGAUACUAAAAGAUGAAGAAACUAGGGAGAAAUAUGACUAUGCUGUUGCACAUCCAGAGGAGUUCUUCUACAACACUGCUCAAUACUAUAGGGCCUACUACGGAUAUAAAACGGAUACUCGUUCUGUGUUGAUUGGCCUUCUUUUAAUUGUGUCAGCAUUCCAAUACAUAAACCAGUUGACAUCGUACAGUCAGGCCAUCGAAAGUGUGAAGCAAACUCCUGCCUACAGAAAUAGGUUAAAAGCAUUGGAGUUUGAGCGAACAGGAGGAAUUUCAAGCAAAAAAAAGGGCAACAAGCCGAUGGAUAAAAAGGUUGAAGAUGAGCUUAGAAAUGAAGUCGACUUGCAAAUUCAGGGAGUUCAGAAACCUUCUGUGUGGAAUCUUUGUGGUGUCCAACUGAUACUUCUGCCUUACUUAAUUGGCAAGCUGCUUAUUUGGCAAAUUUGUUGGUUUUGGAGAUACCGGGUAAAGAAAUCACCGUAUGCAUGGGAGGAUGCUUGCUAUUUGACUCGGACAUCCCUUAGGAUGCCUGCUAACACAUGGCAAAAUAUUGAUGAGUUUACGAAAGAGGAUCUCGUCAUGAAACGCCUCUGGGAAAAGGCCAACAUGGAGAGGCACAUAGCGGAGGCGAGAAGAGGAUCGAAGCAGCGUAGAAGAUAG
RNAcentral lists this ribosomal RNA (900 nucleotides) under Triticum aestivum (bread wheat). RNAcentral describes it as "partial small subunit ribosomal RNA". The record is from RNAcentral. Lineage: Eukaryota; Viridiplantae; Streptophyta; Magnoliopsida; Poales; Poaceae.